CCUACUUCCCACUGCUAUGGGUAGGGGUUAAGGUUAGGGUAGGGACAUCCCAAGGAGGCAGGAUUGCACUGACCAUACAUUUGUCUUUCCAACUAUUCAGCCAAGUUUAUCACACAUGCUGCUACAUCAGCCUGGCCUUUCCCGCCUUUAGGUUUCCGUGUUUACUUUUAUCAUUGGAUCACAUUUUGCCAUUCUCUGACUACUUACUGGCUGCAAAGAAAAUCGAUCAAAACAAAAGCAAGCUAACCUAAAUAUGGCACCAAAUAAUCAGACAAUUAGAAACUACUCAGUUCCUAGAGGUAUUUAAAAAGGUACUUUCAACGUGAGUGAAUUUGCUAUAUUACUUGCCAGUUUUUGCUGUUUCCGAAAAACUAGCUAACCAUGUCUGACCUGAACAAUCACCCAAGACUACAUACAGUACGAGCCCGUUAACUCAUUCACCUAUUUCAUGAUUAAUAUGCCACUGCAGUGGAGCGAUGAUCAACUGCAUGUGUUUUAUGAAAAUGAAGUGAAAACGAAUGUGGACCUCUUCAUUUCUACAAAAUGGCUUUAAGAUGGUAAGGAGGUCCAGAACAGACAUAUUUCAACACCCAGACUUGUGUAGUCACAGAUGAGAGUAGUUGACAAGGAAUUGUCCAGCUGCGCGUGGAAGGUCCCUUGUGAAGAGAAACAGCUGAGAGCACAAAGCCGCCUGGACAUGCGAUGACAACAAUCGCUUUCCUAUGAAAAGGACAGAAACAGACCUAUGCAACUACAUCAACUUCAGCAUUCCAGAGCCAGAAAUUCAGCCUCAAGUUUCCCUCCCUCCCUCCUCGGAAUCAUUUAGCUACCUGUGAAACUCAAGACUCCAGCAUGAAAGUGUUUGAUAAGACCACCACAAUGGUAGCCUCUGCCAUGUCCCAAACAACCGGAUGUUCCAGUUUCUUUUAUGCCUGCUACGUUAUGUUACCACAACGGUAACAGGAUCAAGAUGAUGUGUCGAAGGAAGCUCUCUAAAGGACAAGAUCCUUUCAUCUCUGCAAUAUUAACAUGCUGUGUCCUCUCUCCACACAUCCCACCCCUCAAGUCACUUCUGACUAAACCCCUCAACUUCUUGAAUGACUGAAAGUGUAGUGUCGUGAGUUGACAACGUAUGUCAAGGACACAGUUUUAUAUUUUGUUGACGUGUGACUCAGCAAUUAAUCAUUUCUCCACCUGCUCUUUAGUUUAUUAGUGAUUUAAGUAGUAGCACUAACCAGUACGGGGCGCUAGUGUGCUGUUAACCACAGACUGUUCUACUCAACAGUUGGAACCAUGAUACUGUAUAUAUAAGACAGAUGUUUUGUGAGUAUGAUGUUUACUGCUCAUUUUGUUUUUCACUUUUGUAUAUUAUCUACUUCACUUGCUUUGGCAAUGUUAACAUAUGUUUCCUAUGCCAAUAAAGCCCCUUGAAUGAAUUGGUUUGUCAAACAACG
This is a long non-coding RNA of Oncorhynchus keta (chum salmon), 1454 nucleotides long. RefSeq lists it as uncharacterized. The transcript is spliced from 4 exons. Lineage: Eukaryota; Metazoa; Chordata; Actinopteri; Salmoniformes; Salmonidae. The record is from RefSeq and is a predicted model, not a curated record.